RNAcentral lists this ribosomal RNA (497 nucleotides) under uncultured bacterium. RNAcentral describes it as "partial 16S ribosomal RNA". It matches the Rfam family "Bacterial small subunit ribosomal RNA", at positions 28 to 507 of the family's 1533-position model. The record is from RNAcentral.
GAUGAACGCUGGCGGCGUGCCUAAUACAUGCAAGUCGAGCGAACAGACGAGGAGCUUGCUCCUCUGACGUUAGCGGCGGACGGGUGAGUAACACGUGGAUAACCUACCUAUAAGACUGGGAUAACUUCGGGAAACCGGAGCUAAUACCGGAUAACAUGUUGAACCGCAUGGUUCAACAGUGAAAGACGGUCUUGCUGUCACUUAUAGAUGGAUCCGCGCCGCAUUAGCUAGUUGGUAAGGUAACGGCUUACCAAGGCAACGAUGCGUAGCCGACCUGAGAGGGUGAUCGGCCACACUGGAACUGAGACACGGUCCAGACUCCUACGGGAGGCAGCAGUAGGAAAUCUUCCGCAAUGGGCGAAAGCCUGACGGAGCAACGCCGCGUGAGUGAAGAAGGUCUUCGGAUCGUAAAACUCUGUUAUUAGGGAAGAACAAAUGUGUAAGUAACUAUGCACGUCUUGACGGUACCUAAUCAGGAAGCCACGGCUAACUACGUG